Pelobates cultripes (western spadefoot toad) is the source of this 243-nucleotide non-coding RNA. The record is from the annotation of a GenBank genome assembly. NCBI's taxonomy places the organism in Eukaryota, Metazoa, Chordata, Amphibia, Anura, Pelobatidae.
CAAGGCUCUCACCUCCCCCCCUCGGCAUAAUAAAAACAUCUUCCUUUUCAGGGCUCCCCACCAACUCUGUGGGGCCCAACCAUAAUGCUCCCCACUGGUCGACUUACAACCCAGUGGGGACACGUCCAACCUGGUACCUCCUCCAGGUUCACCAUAAGAGACCGGGGGAGGAUGAGACCUGGCCAUUAUCCUCCUUUUUCAUCUAAUCUACCAAACAAUCCCUUAUUUGGCAAGGACAUGCCC